UGAAGGUUUUCGGAUCGUAAAACUCUGUUGUCAGGGAAGAACAAGUACCGGAGUAACUGCCGGUACCUUGACGGUACCUGACCAGAAAGCCACGGCUAACUACGUGCCAGCAGCCGCGGUAAUACGUAGGUGGCAAGCGUUGUCCGGAAUUAUUGGGCGUAAAGCGCGCGCAGGCGGUCUUUUAAGUCUGAUGUGAAAGCCCCCGGCUCAACCGGGGAGGGUCAUUGGAAACUGGGAGACUUGAGUGCAGAAGAGAAGAGUGGAAUUCCACGUGUAGCGGUGAAAUGCGUAGAGAUGUGGAGGAACACCAGUGGCGAAGGCGACUCUUUGGUCUGUAACUGACGCUGAGGCGCGAAAGCGUGGGGAGCGAACAGGAUUAGAUACCCUGGUAGUCCACGCCGUAAACGAUGAGUGCUAAGUGUUAGAGGGUUUCCGCCCUUUAGUGCUGCAGCAAACGCAUUAAGCACUCCGCCUGGGGAGUACGGCCGCAAGGCUGAAACUCAAAGGAAUUGACGGGGGCCCGCACAAGCGGUGGAGCAUGUGGUUUAAUUCGAAGCAACGCGAAGAACCUUACCAGGUCUUGACAUCCUCUGACCUUCCUAGAGAUAGGACUUUCCCCUUCGGGGGACAGAGUGACAGGUGGUGCAUGGUUGUCGUCAGCUCGUGUCGUGAGAUGUUGGGUUAAGUCCCGCAACGAGCGCAACCCUUGAG
Molecule: ribosomal RNA, 711 nt
Filed under: uncultured Bacillus sp.
Lineage: Bacteria; Bacillati; Bacillota; Bacilli; Caryophanales; Bacillaceae
Description: bacterial SSU rRNA
Rfam family: Bacterial small subunit ribosomal RNA
Source: RNAcentral